Molecule: long non-coding RNA, 1122 nt
Organism: Pseudopipra pipra
Lineage: Eukaryota; Metazoa; Chordata; Aves; Passeriformes; Pipridae
Exons: 3
Source: RefSeq, a predicted model, not a curated record
UCCCAGCCUGUGACAGUAUUCCCAGCCUGUGACAGCAUUUCCCAGGCUCUGACAGCAUUCCCAGCCUGUGACAGCAUUCCCAGCCUGUGCAGCAUUCCCAGCCUGUGCAGCAUUCCCAGCCUGUGACAGCAUUCCCAGCCUGUGCAGCAUUCCCAGCCCCUCUGCUGCCCCAUGCCAGCAGUGCUGAAGUGAGCAGUGAGGUGGGAUCAGCUGAGCUGGAAUAUCUCUGCAGGAAGAGAAACACUUCUGAAAAGGGACCGACAGGUGACUGUUCUAACGACUUUUUGUCUACAGGAGUCUCCAGGCAGGUCUUGCCAGACCUGAGCACCUUCCUCCCCAGGGACCUGCUCACCUCAUCCCAGAGGUGAAGUGGGAGGGAAAGACCCAGGGCUGGCCCUACACCCCAGCAGCCACCAGUGGGCUAAGGCCCUGUGGACAGGGCAGAGCUCAUCCAGGAGAGAUCCCAAAGAGCCACAGCCAGGGCAGAGCUCAUCCAGGAGAGACCCCAGAGAGCCACAGCCAGGGCAGAGCUCAUCCAGGAGAGACCCCAGAGAGCCACAGCCAGAGCAGGGCUCAUCCAGGAGAGACCCCAGAGAGCCACAGCUAGAGCAGGGCUCAUCCAGGAGAGAUCCCAAGGAGCCACAGCCAGGGCAGAGCUCGUGGCAGUUGCAGCCAUCCCAGGCAGUGGGACCACAUCCAGCCUGAGACCUGCCACCCUGGACACUGGGAUCCACAUCCAUCCAUGGCACUGGGAUCACAGUCACCCUGGACAAGGGGAUCCAGCCCACCCUGGGCACUCUGAGGGUCUCUGUGUGCUGACAUGGGAGCACAAACUCAGGGUCCAGGCUCCAGGGUGGGCUGUGCACUUGUGAGGAGGAGGGGGAAGGGAAGCUCUCACUGACAAACGUGGCCCCAGCUGUGCAAGGAGACACUGAGCUGCUGCUGGGGACAACAUCUGGUACCUGCUGACCUUUCCCAAGCUGUGCCUCCCACCCUGGCAAAUCACUCUCUCUGUGCUGCCAAAACAGCCAUCAAUUAAAAAUGCAUUACCACAGCUCCCUAAAGCAAAGCCAAAAAUUGCUGCUUAUUCAUUCUGCAGACACUCAAAGCGUGUUUACAGAG